This 449-nucleotide ribosomal RNA is filed under the name uncultured bacterium. RNAcentral describes it as "partial 16S ribosomal RNA". It matches the Rfam family "Bacterial small subunit ribosomal RNA", at positions 29 to 523 of the family's 1533-position model. The record is from RNAcentral.
AACGAACGCUGGCGGCAUGCCUAACACAUGCAAGUCGAACGAAGGCUUCGGCCUUAGUGGCGCACGGGUGCGUAACGCGUGGGAAUCUGCCCCUCGGUUCGGAAUAACAGUUAGAAAUGACUGCUAAUACCGGAUGAUGACUUCGGUCCAAAGAUUUAUCGCCGAGGAAUGAGCCCGCGUAAGAUUAGGUAGUUGGUGGGGUAAAGGCCUACUAAGCCGACGAUCUUUAGCUGGUCUGAGAGGAUGAUCAGCCACACUGGGACUGAGACACGGCCCAGACUCCUACGGGAGGCAGCAGUGGGGAAUAUUGGACAAUGGGCGAAAGCCUGAUCCAGCAAUGCCGCGUGAGUGAUGAAGGCCUUAGGGUUGUAAAGCUCUUUUACCAGGGAUGAUAAUGACAGUACCUGGAGAAUAAGCUCCGGCUAACUCCGUGCCAGCAGCCGCAGUAA